RNAcentral lists this ribosomal RNA (497 nucleotides) under uncultured bacterium. Its description in RNAcentral is "partial 16S ribosomal RNA". It matches the Rfam family "Bacterial small subunit ribosomal RNA", at positions 28 to 507 of the family's 1533-position model. The record is from RNAcentral.
GAUGAACGCUGGCGGCGUGCCUAAUACAUGCAAGUCGAGCGAACAGAUGAGGAGCUUGCUCCUCUGACGUUAGCGGCGGACGGGUGAGUAACACGUGGAUAACCUACCUAUAAGACUGGGAUAACUUCGGGAAACCGGAGCUAAUACCGGAUAAUAUAUUGAACCGCAUGGUUCAAUAGUGAAAGACGGUUUUGCUGUCACUUAUAGAUGGAUCCGCGCCGCGUUAGCUAGUUGGUAAGGUAACGGCUUACCAAGGUAACGAUGCGUAGCCGACCUGAGAGGGUGAUCGGCCACACUGGAACUGAGACACGGUCCAGACUCCUACGGGAGGCAGCAGUAGGGAAUCUUCCGCAAUGGGCGAAAGCCUGACGGAGCAACGCCGCGUGAGUGAUGAAGGUCUUCGGAUCGUAAAACUCUGUUAUUAGGGAAGAACAAAUGUGUAAGUAACUAUGCACGUCUUGACGGUACCUAAUCAGAAAGCCACGGCUAACUACGUG